This is an unclassified non-coding RNA of Dipodomys ordii (Ord's kangaroo rat), 161 nucleotides long. Ensembl annotates it as predicted gene, 27587. Lineage: Eukaryota; Metazoa; Chordata; Mammalia; Rodentia; Heteromyidae. The record is from Ensembl.
ACAAGCUAAGAGAUACAAAGGGAAAAGUGUGACUGCUCUGACAGCAAAAACAAGCAAAUAUCUCCAGAGGGGAUUAAUCCCUUUGCUUCAAAGUAACCAAAACAAAGAAAGCUGAGCCAGCUUUGGAACAACACCUGUCUAUCAGACAAGAAUGAGCUAAU